RNAcentral lists this ribosomal RNA (432 nucleotides) under uncultured bacterium. Its description in RNAcentral is "partial 16S ribosomal RNA". It matches the Rfam family "Bacterial small subunit ribosomal RNA", at positions 29 to 507 of the family's 1533-position model. The record is from RNAcentral.
AACGAACGCUGGCGGCAUGCCUAACACAUGCAAGUCGAACGAGACCUUCGGGUCUAGUGGCGCACGGGUGCGUAACGCGUGGGAACCAGCCCUUAGGUUCGGAAUAACUCCCCGAAAGGGGUGCUAAUACCGGAUAAUGUCUUCGGACCAAGAUUUAUCGCCUUUGGAUGGGCCCGCGUUGGAUUAGCUAGUUGGUAGGGUAAAAGCCUACCAAGGCGACGAUCCAUAGCUGGUCUGAGAGGAUGAUCAGCCACACUGGGACUGAGACACGGCCCAGACUCCUACGGGAGGCAGCAGUGGGGAAUAUUGGACAAUGGGCGAAAGCCUGAUCCAGCAAUGCCGCGUGAGUGAUGAAGGCCUUAGGGUUGUAAAGCUCUUUUACCCGGGAUGAUAAUGACAGUACCGGGAGAAUAAGCUCCGGCUAACUCCGUG